CCUACGGGUGGCAGCAGUGGGGAAUAUUGCACAAUGGGGGAAACCCUGAUGCAGCACCGCCGCGUGAGUGAAGAAGUAUCUCGGUAUGUAAAGCUCUAUCAGCAGGGAAGAAAAUGACGGUACCUGACUAAGAAGCCCCGGCUAACUACGUGCCAGCAGCCGCGGUAAUACGUAGGGGGCAAGCGUAUGCGGGAUUUAUGGGGUGAAAAGGGAGCUUGAACGGGGUGGCAAGUCUGAAGUGAAAGCCCGGGGCUCACACCCGGGACUGGUUUGGAAACUGUCAUGCUGGAGUGCUGGAGAGGUAAGCGGAAUUCCUAGUGUAGCGGUGAAAUGCGUAGAUAUUAGGAGGAACACCAGUGGCGAAGGCGGCUUACUGGACAGUAACUGACGUUGAGGCUCGAAAGCGUGGGGAGCAAACAGGAUUAGAUACCCGAGUAGUC
Molecule: ribosomal RNA, 440 nt
Filed under: uncultured bacterium
Lineage: Bacteria
Description: partial 16S ribosomal RNA
Rfam family: Bacterial small subunit ribosomal RNA
Source: RNAcentral